Non-coding RNA from Terribacillus aidingensis, 144 nucleotides. The record is from Rfam. Lineage: Bacteria; Bacillati; Bacillota; Bacilli; Caryophanales; Bacillaceae.
AACCUAAUAAACGUUAUACCUAAGACAGCAGGUGCCCUAGGGCUUAAUCUCCUGCCGAGGUGUGUGAGAUAUAAAGGCAGUCUGUUCCGACUGUUCCUUGUGAUCAUGCCUCCAUGUCGAAUGGAGGCAUUUUUCAUGUUAACU